RNAcentral lists this ribosomal RNA (1438 nucleotides) under uncultured organism. RNAcentral describes it as "SSU rRNA". It matches the Rfam family "Bacterial small subunit ribosomal RNA". The record is from RNAcentral.
CUGGAUGAACGCUAGCUACAGGCUUAACACAUGCAAGUCGAGGGGCAGCAUUUCAGUUUGCUUGCAAACUGGAGAUGGCGACCGGCGCACGGGUGAGUAACACGUAUCCAACCUGCCGAUAACUCGGGGAUAGCCUUUCGAAAGAAAGAUUAAUACCCGAUGGCAUAAUUAGACCGCAUGGUCUUAUUAUUAAAGAAUUUCGGUUAUCGAUGGGGAUGCGUUCCAUUAGGCAGUUGGUGAGGUAACGGCUCACCAAACCUUCGAUGGAUAGGGGUUCUGAGAGGAAGGUUCCCCACAUUGGAACUGAGACACGGUCCAAACUCCUACGGGAGGCAGCAGUGAGGAAUAUUGGUCAAUGGGCGCAGGCCUGAACCAGCCAAGUAGCGUGAAGGAUGACUGCCCUAUGGGUUGUAAACUUCUUUUAUAUGGGAAUAAAGUUUUCCACGUGUGGAAUUUUGUAUGUACCAUAUGAAUAAGGAUCGGCUAACUCCGUGCCAGCAGCCGCGGUAAUACGGAGGAUCCGAGCGUUAUCCGGAUUUAUUGGGUUUAAAGGGAGCGUAGGUGGACAGUUAAGUCAGUUGUGAAAGUUUGCGGCUCAACCGUAAAAUUGCAGUUGAUACUGGCUGUCUUGAGUACAGUAGAGGUGGGCGGAAUUCGUGGUGUAGCGGUGAAAUGCUUAGAUAUCACGAAGAACUCCGAUUGCGAAGGCAGCUCACUGGACUGCAACUGACACUGAUGCUCGAAAGUGUGGGUAUCAAACAGGAUUAGAUACCCUGGUAGUCCACACAGUAAACGAUGAAUACUCGCUGUUUGCGAUAUACAGUAAGCGGCCAAGCGAAAGCAUUAAGUAUUCCACCUGGGGAGUACGCCGGCAACGGUGAAACUCAAAGGAAUUGACGGGGGCCCGCACAAGCGGAGGAACAUGUGGUUUAAUUCGAUGAUACGCGAGGAACCUUACCCGGGCUUAAAUUGCAUUUGAAUAUAUUGGAAACAGUAUAGCCGUAAGGCAAAUGUGAAGGUGCUGCAUGGUUGUCGUCAGCUCGUGCCGUGAGGUGUCGGCUUAAGUGCCAUAACGAGCGCAACCCUUAUCUUUAGUUACUAACAGGUCAUGCUGAGGACUCUAGAGAGACUGCCGUCGUAAGAUGUGAGGAAGGUGGGGAUGACGUCAAAUCAGCACGGCCCUUACGUCCGGGGCUACACACGUGUUACAAUGGGGGGUACAGAAGGCAGCUACCUGGUGACAGGAUGCUAAUCCCAAAAGCCUCUCUCAGUUCGGAUCGAAGUCUGCAACCCGACUUCGUGAAGCUGGAUUCGCUAGUAAUCGCGCAUCAGCCAUGGCGCGGUGAAUACGUUCCCGGGCCUUGUACACACCGCCAGUCAAGCCAUGAAAGCCGGGGGUACCUGAAGUACGUAACCGCAAGGAGCGUCCUAGGGUAAA